GUGGAGGGCCCUGAAAUGUAGGGCGGUGAAGGGACCGUCCAGAGUUGCCACCCUGAUGAGGGAUGGAUCUGGGACAGGAAUGUCGUCGUUUCCCUGUGGCUGGAGAUUCCCCAGCCCCUGACACCAACCCACGGCCCCUGAGAAAAGGUCCUGAAGCCCUGAACCAGGAGCUGCCCUCACAGUCUCAAAUCCCUCUGUGCCAGUGUUUCUGUAGGGGAGAGCGAGUGCCACGAGACCAGACUCAGUCCUCCCUCCUCUCUGUGUUUGGGGCCCUGACAUCAACUAUGUGGUGGUUUCUGCCCCAUGGGGCCCUAGUGAAGGACCGGGAACGUGUGGCACGGGCCACGUUCCCUCACCUCUCUGCAAGGUCAGCACGAGGAACCAUAUGUCCUCUG
Long non-coding RNA from Lutra lutra (Eurasian river otter), 395 nucleotides. RefSeq lists it as uncharacterized. The record is from RefSeq and is a predicted model, not a curated record. The transcript has 3 exons. Lineage: Eukaryota; Metazoa; Chordata; Mammalia; Carnivora; Mustelidae.